This 253-nucleotide ribosomal RNA is filed under the name uncultured bacterium. RNAcentral describes it as "partial 16S ribosomal RNA". It matches the Rfam family "Bacterial small subunit ribosomal RNA", at positions 524 to 776 of the family's 1533-position model. The record is from RNAcentral.
UACGUAGGGUGCGAGCGUUGCCCGGAUUUAUUGGGCGUAAAGGGCGCGCAGGCGGCCACGCACGUCCGUUGUGAAAUCGCCCGGCUCAACUGGGCGGGGUCGGCGGAUACGGCGUGGCUGGAGCAAGCUAGGGGGUAGUGGAAUUCCCGGUGUAGUGGUGGAAUGCGUAGAUAUCGGGAGGAACACCAGUGGCGAAGGCGGCUACCUGGGGCUUACCUGACGCUGAGACGCGAAAGCGUGGGGAGCGAACCGG